GUGGAUUAGAUACCCUGGUAGUCCACGCCGUAAACGAUGGAUGCUAGCCGUUGGCGAGCUUGCUCGUCAGUGGCGCAGCUAACGCUUUAAGCAUCCCGCCUGGGGAGUACGGUCGCAAGAUUAAAACUCAAAGGAAUUGACGGGGGCCCGCACAAGCGGUGGAGCAUGUGGUUCAAUUCGAAGCAACGCGCAGAACCUUACCAGCCCUUGACAUCCCGGUCGCGGAGAGCAGAGACGCACUCCUUCAGUUCGGCUGGACCGGAGACAGGUGCUGCAUGGUUGUCGUCAGCU
Molecule: ribosomal RNA, 291 nt
Filed under: uncultured bacterium
Lineage: Bacteria
Description: partial 16S ribosomal RNA
Rfam family: Bacterial small subunit ribosomal RNA
Source: RNAcentral